This 468-nucleotide ribosomal RNA is filed under the name uncultured bacterium. RNAcentral's name for it is "partial 16S ribosomal RNA". It matches the Rfam family "Bacterial small subunit ribosomal RNA", at positions 28 to 507 of the family's 1533-position model. The record is from RNAcentral.
GACGAACGCUGGCGGCGUGCUUAACACAUGCAAGUCGAACGGAAAGGCCCUGCUUUUGUGGGGUGCUCGAGUGGCGAACGGGUGAGUAACACGUGAGUAACCUGCCCUUGACUUUGGGAUAACUUCAGGAAACUGGGGCUAAUACCGGAUAGCAGCUCCUGCUGCAUGGUGGGGGUUGGAACGUUUCGGCGGUUGGGGAUGGACUCGCGGCUUAUCAGCUUGUUGGUGGGGUAGUGGCUUACCAAGGCUGUGACGGGUAGCCGGCCUGAGAGGGUGACCGGCCACAUUGGGACUGAGAUACGGCCCAGACUCCUACGGGAGGCAGCAGUGGGGAAUAUUGCACAAUGGGCGGAAGCCUGAUGCAGCAACGCCGCGUGCGGGAUGACGGCCUUCGGGUUGUAAACCGCUUUCGCCUGUGACGAAGCGUGAGUGACGGUAAUGGGUAAAGAAGCACCGGCUAACUACGUG